Molecule: long non-coding RNA, 605 nt
Organism: Sciurus carolinensis (gray squirrel)
Lineage: Eukaryota; Metazoa; Chordata; Mammalia; Rodentia; Sciuridae
Exons: 3
Source: RefSeq, a predicted model, not a curated record
GGAAUGACAGUAUUUAGCUUAUGAGGGCUAUCACGAGGAUUAAGUGACAGUGACGUCGCAUAUGAUAUACCAAGCUGGAAGGCGGAUUUCAAGAUCCAAAGCUGAACUGAAAGCAGGGAGAAGUUUUCUAUUAUAACAAGAAAAUAAUUCCUCCCAUUGGGAAAAUAGAUCUCUUCAGCAUUAAGAAGAUGGCCAUCUGCAAACCAAGAAGCUGGCCCUCUCCAGACACUGGAUCUGCCAGCACCUUGAUUUUGAAUUUCCAGCCUCCAGAACCACAAGAAACAGAUUUCUAUUGUUCAAGGCACCAAGUCUAUGCUAUUCUGGUGCAGCGGCCUGAGCUAAGACACCACCUUAGUUUGACAUCUAAGAAAGUGUCAUCACUACCAAUGAUGCUGACAAUCUCUAGAAAGCAGAUUAGUGCUAACGGAUGUGAAAACCCAUAGGUCAGGUUUCCAUGAAUCCUUGAGCACUGUGAUUUAAUGAUUGAUUACUCUCACAAGGGACAGCUCAGCAGAUGAGACUUUGUUCCAGGUUUGAACCUAUUUAGUUUUACUGAAAUUAAAAAUUUAGAAAACAAUUUGAGAAUUUCUGUAUGUUACCAGUAG